AUCGCUUCUCGGCCUUUUGGCUAAGAUCAAGUGUAGUAUCUGUUCUUAUCAGUUUAGAACGGACUCACCAGUGGCUCUAUUACUACAAAAUUCAGGAAGGUGAGGAGUUCAGAGGCCCCCACCAGAACAGGUGGUUCCAGGAAUUUAUUCCUUUAUCUGUGAUCCAGGAAUUAAGAAGGUACUACCUGAACUACUGGCUCCCAA
This 204-nucleotide small nuclear RNA is filed under the name Suricata suricatta (meerkat). RNAcentral describes it as "U2 spliceosomal RNA (ENSSSUG00005006013.1)". It matches the Rfam family "U2 spliceosomal RNA". From Rfam's summary of the family: U2 is a small nuclear RNA (snRNA) component of the spliceosome (involved in pre-mRNA splicing). Lineage: Eukaryota; Metazoa; Chordata; Mammalia; Carnivora; Herpestidae. The record is from RNAcentral.